Molecule: small nuclear RNA, 316 nt
Filed under: Castor canadensis (American beaver)
Lineage: Eukaryota; Metazoa; Chordata; Mammalia; Rodentia; Castoridae
Description: 7SK RNA (ENSCCNG00000004853.1)
Rfam family: 7SK RNA
About the family: 7SK was discovered as an abundant small nuclear RNA in the mid-70s but a possible function has only recently been suggested. Two independent studies have found that 7SK RNA binds the CDK9/cyclin T complex (known as elongation factor P-TEFb).
Source: RNAcentral
GGAUAUGGGGGCAAACUGGCUGCAACAUUUGUCAUCCCAUUGAUCUCCAGAGUUGAUUCAGCUGAUGUGGCUGGCAAGACAAGUGUCUCCUUCCUCCCUCACUGCUCCAUGUACAUCCCUCCAUCAAAGAGAAUGGUAUGCUAAGUCAAAGAGGAUGACCAUCACUGAUAGAGGAGGACCGCUCUUCAAUCCAGUGUACAUGAGUGACUGUGCUCGUCUGUUACAACCUUCAAACAAGCUCUCAAACUGUGCCUCAGGUGCAGAGAGCAGCCUGUGCCAGGUCACACUCAGAUCAGCAUUUGCACUAGUCUGAUGC